AGGAAAGUCGUGGUCUUUUAGUAUUACACCCUGGCUUUCUCUGUUCAUUAAAAUUUCAGGCGCAGUGAUCCAAACAUGUUCAAACGUUCCAAUUCCAAUGAACGACCGAUGGUGAGGAGGGAAAAGGGGACAGGGCGGCUGAGAAAACUUUUUCUAGAAGUCAUUCCGAUACACGGAAUGCACGUGUCGGUGAAACAAAUAGGAACUUUUCAUGCAUAAAUGACGUCUACGCUUCGCGGUGCUACUUGAAGUAUUCAAUUUUCAGGAUAAUUUACAGCAAAUUGACGAAUUUGACACAUAUUAUGCUGAAAAUAUUCAUGCAAACAUGAGUGAAAAUACGGAAGAUUUUAGAGAUAAAAUUUCCAGCAGUACCCUCAAAUCGUUUAGUUGAACACAUAAUUGCACUAUCUCAGCAACAUUUUAAAGCUCAUUCGUUCUAGCUACGGAAAAUAGCUGAAUUUAUCCUGCGAAUUAGAGGAGUGGACCUCAUGAUAAGUAUUAACGAAUUCGUGAAUCACCUGCCUUUCAGCGGCGUAAAUCAUCAACUAUCGAUAUUUUUCCAUUUGAUCCAAUGGUGAAGAAUCGAAUAGCGGCGUGUUUAUUGCGAGCACAAAGAUAAUCGACCCUUUCCCGUAAGUUUAAAUGGGAGAUCAAUCAAUCCAUCGGAAAACACGGCUGCCAUUUUCAGACAUCAGAUAUGCAGGGGCCAUUGGCCGCGAAGAUUGGUUCCCGGUGAAAUAAUGGCGACUAAUUACUCUUGGCGCGGCGGGCAGCGAGAACCGCGAGACCGCCCGCGAUUGGCCGUUAUGCAAUGGGCGGCCUCGGCCAGAUUUUGAAUAAUUCAAGCCCCAACGAGCGACCAGUUCUCUGCAGCCCACUCGUUUCGGCAAAUUUAAGAUAGCGCCGAUAGAUUUAUUCAUUCGGCUCGUCGAAGGAUCAGUAUGCGGUGAAGAAAAAGCCAGCUUGAUUGCGAUUGAUAUGUGAAAAGUCUGCGUACUUGAAGGAAAAAGAAUCGUUGCUCUCACAUCGAUCAAAGUGAAUUCCAGGAGCUUAUCACCUUUGGAGACGAAGUUACGACGAUAUACUUCGGUGAUAACGAGUUUCUCCGUUUGGAAAAGAAAACCACGGUGCGUAUCGCAUUACCAUGGGCCGUGAAGAUGGUUCUGAAACUUUGAAGGAUUUUAAAAGAAGUUAUAAUGAACGCGCAACCACUACUAUUUAAAGUCAGGCACGUAUCCAUGGGGGAGGCUUGGGGGGCUCAAGCCCCUCCCGAAAGCCAAAAAAGCAGGAAAAGAAUGAAGAAGAGAAGAGUAGGAAGAUAAAAAAAGGCGAGAAAAUGGGAAGUUUGACCUUUCAAAUG
Molecule: long non-coding RNA, 1360 nt
Filed under: Bemisia tabaci
Lineage: Eukaryota; Metazoa; Arthropoda; Insecta; Hemiptera; Aleyrodidae
Description: lncRNA ENSSSA1NGG004303
Source: RNAcentral